GGUUGUAUGCCACUAUGUAAUUUUUAAAAAAAAAUACGUUUGAUGAUCAAUGCCCCACCUUCAAAUGAAAAGUGUCCCGGAAAUGAGUCUAAAAAUUAUGGCAUGUAGGGUCAUUGUAUUGACGGCAAAAACAACGGAAUUACACGAAAUUAUGAGAAUCGAGCACAUGUUACUGACGUAGUACACAUGUCACUGACGUAGUACACAGGUUUAUUGCGUAGUACACAGGUCUAUUGAGCGCGCAAUAUUCAAUAUUCAAAGACGGCAAAAACUUCGUCUCAUAUCAACAGUGAACUGAUGAUAUCAUCUCUACAACGAGGAAGGUGAAAUUGCUAAAGCAAAUUAUCAGAAGAAGACCUUCAAAGCUGCAAUCGGUGAAAUUCACUGUCCUGCUGACUGUGUCCAAUGUGAAAGUGCAUCGAAAAGGCAGGAACUGCUGGGGGUUGUGUGGUUGAGGCUAGAUCUGACAGAUGGGAGGAUGAGUGCAGAAGCCUGCGUAGAAAGAUUUGACGCAUGGAGGAGAGAAUUACUGCUUUAGGGAGUCAGAAUACAAAAGUGGAGGACCCCGAAUUAUAAGCUGUGGAACAUCAAAGUGAUACUCAAGAAGUCUUGGUUACAUAAUAAUUAGCAAAGACUAUCUUCACUGUGGAGGAACUUAGAACCCACUCUAGGACUGGAAAGAUGACCAAUAAGUGCAAGGAUUCCCCGAGACCACCACUUGAACCCUCGAAACUCGGCAAUCUUGAAAGACUAGUGAGGAAAAAUACCGGUGUAUCAAAAGAAGUAUUUAAUAAAAAACUAGAGAACUAACAAAAAGUCAUCAGAAGGAAAUAAAUCACAAAAUAAGUGAAACAUUGGAAACUGUUCUAAUUUCAAGUUCUUGGUUUUUGAAAAUCAGCAAGCUGUAUUGAAUAAACUAUUUCUUAGUUCUUGUUAAACAAAGAUGUGUAGUUUUUAAAUUUUAUAUGCAGUUUUACAUGUUUGUGGUUUACUUUUGAACAAUAUAACUUAGAGCUUAUGUUGUGUACAUAUUGUUUAGACUUGUCAGUCCGCAAAUUGAUUGGUAUCAAUUCUGUCUGCUCUGUUCUUGCAUUUUUCAUAAAUGUGAAAUAAUGUAAAUGUAGUUUAGGAACUGUUCAUGAACUGUAGUCCUUGAACUGUUCUUGCACUUUUCGUGAAGAUAAAAUGGCACAAUGAAUUUGCGCUGGAAAAAGUGCUAGAAAAGUUCAUGUAGAGGAAAAAAUUCAUGAACAGUUCAUAAUUUACUGUAAGUGAACAGUUCAUGAGCAUUUCAUUGCAUUUUGUAUAAGAACAGUUCAUGAAAUGUUCAUGUUUUAUUGAGUCAUGAACUGAUCAAGAGCAUGGGACAGUUCAAGAACUAAGUGUCCUCUGAACUUUUCAAGAAUUUGUGCCAUUUUGUCUUCAUGUACAUCCCAUGAACUAUUCAUGAAUCUAGGUCAUGAACUAGAAUGAAUACUUCAUGAAUUAUACAUGAACUGUAAGCAUUCAUUUCACAGGGGAAUGAUUUCUUUUUCGUUUUUGUUCAUAACAAUGUCAUUGGAUAAGAUUUUUGUACUUAACAUUUUUGCUCAUUACAAACGCAUAUAUGGCCUUUAAUCUCAAAGUUCAAAAGAUCCAGAGGCUUAUUGUGAGAUUUUUGACAGUUCAAUAUGUCUGUUGUUCGUCUUAACAAUUUCUAAUGUUAAAUACAUUAAAAAGUGUCCAAAACUUUAAGUCCACACAGUAAUCAAACUGGUUGCCUAAUGAAACUAAAAGGGCAAUGCUUUUGAGUUCAUGAAAAGUUAGGGGAUUUGGUGAUUUGUAAGAAAUCUAUGUACAUACAUAUGUGUCAAUGUAAUAGAAAUUCCAUGUACAUGUACAUUUAUUUUCAGAUGUGAACAGUUGUUAACAGUAUUAUAUUAGCUCAAAUAAAUGCAACAGUUUUUUGAAA
Molecule: long non-coding RNA, 1951 nt
Organism: Ruditapes philippinarum (Manila clam)
Lineage: Eukaryota; Metazoa; Mollusca; Bivalvia; Venerida; Veneridae
Exons: 3
Source: RefSeq, a predicted model, not a curated record